Molecule: long non-coding RNA, 651 nt
Filed under: Salmo salar (Atlantic salmon)
Lineage: Eukaryota; Metazoa; Chordata; Actinopteri; Salmoniformes; Salmonidae
Description: lncRNA (ENSSSAG00000109330.1)
Source: RNAcentral
GCAUUGACUAGUUUGGUUGCGAUAUCGGCGAAUAUCUUUUCACGUUACUCUACAUCCCGAAUAAAUGGAUUUCUUGACAAAUAUAUAUUUAUGGAUUAAGAGAGAACACUUCAAAAGGAGUCGUGGAGCAGAGGUGAAGGUGGUUGAGGUGGAGGUGGAGGAGUUCAUCAAAAGCUCCAUCAGUGACCAUGAUGGGUCAUAUGUCUGCAAAAGUCAGAAUACACAACCCUUUCAUUUUUACUGUGAACAACACAAGGCACGAGGAAAGUCGACAGGGCAGCCACAGGACACCAGGACAAACAGCUGUAAGGACUACAGUGCUUUUGGAAAGUAUUCAGACCCCUUGACUUUUUCCACUUUUUGUUACGUUACAGCCUUAUUCUAAAAUGGAUUAAAUAAAUAAAAAAUCCUCAGCAAUCUACACACAAUGCCCCAUAAUGACAAAGCGAAAACUGGUUUUUAGACAUUUUUUAAAAUGUUUAAAAAAUAAAAAAUGCCUUAUUUACAAAAGUAUUCAGCACCUUUGCUAUGAGACUCGAAAUUGAGCUCAGGUGCAUCCUGCUUCCAUUGGUCAUCCUUGAAAUGUUUUUAUAACUUGAUUGGAAUCCACCUGUGGUAAAUUCAAUUGAUUGGACAUGAUUUGAAAAAGAC